Molecule: ribosomal RNA, 604 nt
Filed under: Acinetosporaceae sp.
Lineage: Eukaryota; Phaeophyceae; Ectocarpales; Acinetosporaceae
Description: LSU rRNA
Rfam family: Eukaryotic large subunit ribosomal RNA
Source: RNAcentral
ACCCGCUGAAUUUAAGCAUAUAACUAAGCGGAGGAAAAUAAACUAACCAGGAUUCCCCCAGUAACGGCGAGUGAAGCGGGAAGAGCUCACGUUGUAAAUCUGACUUCGGUCCGAAUUGUAGUCUGGAGAGGCGUGACCAGCUGGAGACGGGGGCGAAGUCUCUUGGAAAAGAGCAUCAAGGAGGGUGACAAUCCCGUUCUUGCCCCCGCCCUCCACGCGUACGGUCCGUUUUCUACGAGUCGAGUUGCUUGGGAUUGCAGCUCAAAGCGGGUGGUAAAUUCCAUCUAAAGCUAAACACGGGUGGGAGACCGAUAGCGAACAAGUACCGUGAGGGAAAGAUGCAAAGAACUUUGAAAAGAGAGUUAAAGAGUGCCUGAAAUUGCUGAAAGGGAAGCGAAGGAAACCAGUGUCUGACAGUUCCGCUUCUCCUUUGCCCUUCGGGGCGUUGGUUUGCGUUUCUGUCGUGGCCAGGGCUGGGUAGUGUUGCGGGAGUCUGCGCAACGGAAGGUGGCAUCUCCUCGGAGUGUGAAUACCGUGGCGUGUCGUCGCGACGCUGGCCAGUUCUGACGAAAUGGUUUUCUUUACCCCGUCUUGAAACACGGAA